AAGAGACGUUGCCCUUCGGGGUAUACCUCCCACCCUUUGUUCAUUAUACCUUUGUUGCUUUGGCGGGCCCGUCCUCGGACCACCGGCUUCUGCUGGUCAGUGCCCGCCAGAGGACCUAAAACUCUGUUUGUUAAUAUUGUCUGAGUACUAUAUAAUAGUUA
Molecule: unclassified non-coding RNA, 161 nt
Filed under: soil metagenome
Description: partial internal transcribed spacer 1
Source: RNAcentral